Molecule: long non-coding RNA, 1872 nt
Organism: Drosophila gunungcola (fruit fly)
Lineage: Eukaryota; Metazoa; Arthropoda; Insecta; Diptera; Drosophilidae
Exons: 3
Source: RefSeq, a predicted model, not a curated record
GAUCGUGCAUUUAAAUUUUGUUCAUAUCUUGUUUGGUUUAGCUUUUAUAGGCUGUUGAACACAAGUGUUGCAAAUGAGACGUAAUAAUGCGGUAUUGCAGAUAAUUUAGAAAUAGCUCUAUUAUUUUGAGCAUCCGACUUUCCUCCCUUUUUAUAGAGUGGAAUAAUAAUAGAAUCCUUCCCGAUAGUUGGAAAAACUGAUGUUGAGGUAGACAAUUAAAACAAUUUUAUAAUAGUUGAGGCACAAAACUACAGCACGAGAUACCGACCAGUCGGUAGGUAACGGGCCCCCGCCCAAACCACCCUGAGCUACCCUAGAAACGGUACGCUGACUGGGCGAUCACAUACAUCCACACAUUUGGAUGUAACUAUGUUGCUAUCUGUAAACAUAGCCCGAACCAGGCAACGACCCACUGAAGUCGUUGUGCCGCUACUUUUGCUGAUAUCGCUACUGGAUGCCUCCGACCACUAUCCACAUGAAAUUCAACACGAGCUGCCACUUCGGACGGACUGCCAAAUAAUCAUUUCUUUAUUUCAUCUUACAUUACUGUAUAAGCAUUUAUGUAUUAAUAUAUAAGACCUUAUGUACACAAAGGGCAGCGGAGGCUUCUUGGUCACCGCUGAACAAUAUACAGAUCAGUUUGAAUUGUCAUUUCAAUCGACACAGACCUGCUUAUUCAAUUUAAAAACUCAACAAUUGGAAAACCUUGGACCACCACUAAAGUUUUUGUUGUAAGCCAAGCUUAAGCGCUCGUUGCUAAUUAAAAAAAACGCUUUCGAUAAUGGGAACACCUGAGCUAGAGUUUUUUUGUAAAGCUAAUUUUUGGCACCUCUCAGCCAACAGCUGCCACGAAGCCUCUAGCUAGCCUAGCUGACCAAUUCCCGGUUCCGGCCAAGUUCUUCUCUCUCGAAACGUCGAUCCAAUUAGACGUGCCAGUUCUCCAUAAUUCAAAGUGCACCAAAAUAAUCUAGCAAAGUUGUGUGAUUCAUACGGAAUUAUCUUAUAUUUUGCUGGCAUUAUCAAAGUCGAAUAAUUUGACCCCUCUAGCGCUGCCACCAAUUGUGCGACCUGCAUUGCUGCCACUGCAGCAGCCAGAUCCACUCGUCGGCAUUAUUUUUGAAUACGGGAGCUGGAGAAAUCAUCAGCAGACCCUUUUUCGAGCGGGGCGCAAAUCUUACUUUGUGCCCCACGAGUUUUUACACCGAGGUGUGUGUCCUCAGGAGCACCCCUUCAGCAGGUCCAAUCUGCCGGCUCUGAGCGGCCACAACCUGCCGGAUAACUAAAAGAGGGGCUCCAACAAUCACAUUCGAGAGGAUGACCACCUAAGCCACUCUUCUCUAACUCACUUGCCAUAUAGGCAGCAUGCGCAUGGGAUAUCGUGUCUAACCCUACUUGGCAUACUGCCCCAGCUGGGAUUUUUUUUGUGUUUUGUUGGUGAUGCCUUUGCCAACCACAUAAUCCAUAAUAAAAAUCGCCAAAUUAAAUAAUUAAAAUCCCAAUGUACAAACAAACACCGACAUGCAAAACCUACAACUAAGAAAUACCACAAGAAGCUUAAAUAAUUCGAAUUUAUCAAGAAGAAUUCGUUUGGUAAAAAAAGAGAAACAAAUUAAGUUUAUUUUAAAUCGUUCGCGAGUCUGAGAUAAACCAAAAUUAAAUUUAAACAAAUAAUAUCGCUAACCCUUUCAGCUCUCAACGUAGGGAGAUCUUUCGCCGUUGGAAAAACGAAUAAGUGAGUCAAUUAUAAACCAUGUUUGUUUGGUGCACUUUAUAUAUCCCCAAUAUAACUAACCUCACAGACCUGAGUUCGAAUAUUUUGACAUAAAAAAAAGAUGAAUAAGAACUAAAUUCUCUAAGCAUAGAUGUACAACC